GACCUCGGAUCAGGUAGGGAUACCCGCUGAACUUAAGCAUAUCAAUAAGCGGAGGAAAA
RNAcentral lists this ribosomal RNA (59 nucleotides) under Bipolaris sorokiniana. RNAcentral describes it as "partial 28S ribosomal RNA". The record is from RNAcentral. RNAcentral also lists the same sequence under 1 other name. Lineage: Eukaryota; Fungi; Ascomycota; Dothideomycetes; Pleosporales; Pleosporaceae.